RNAcentral lists this non-coding RNA (974 nucleotides) under Burhinus senegalensis (Senegal thick-knee). RNAcentral's name for it is "12S ribosomal RNA". It matches the Rfam family "Bacterial small subunit ribosomal RNA". Lineage: Eukaryota; Metazoa; Chordata; Aves; Charadriiformes; Burhinidae. The record is from RNAcentral.
AAAGACUUAGUCCUAACCUUACCGUUAAUUCGUGCCAAGCAUAUACAUGCAAGUAUCUGCGAUCCAGUGUAAAUGCCCUCAAUUUCUUGCUAGGAUGACAGGAGCAGGCAUCAGGCACACCCACCCAGCCGUAGCCCAAGACGCCUUGCCCAGCCACACCCCCACGGGUACUCAGCAGUAAUUAACAUUAGGCAAUAAGCGUAAGCUUGACCUAGCUAUGGCACCACCCAGGGUUGGUAAAUCUUGUGCCAGCCACCGCGGUCAUACAAGAAACCCAAAUUAACCGUACACGGCGUAAAGAGUGGUAUCAUGCUAUCACAGUAACUAGGAUUAAAACGCAACUGAGUUGUCAUAUACCCAUGCUGCGCUUAAGCCCGCCCUAAAAAUGAUCCUAGCGCCUACGAUCGAUUGCACUCCCACGAAAGCUAAGACCCAAACUGGGAUUAGAUACCCCACUAUGCUUAGCCCUAAAUCUCGGUGCUCACUUUACCAAGGCACCCGCCUGGGGACUACGAGCGCAAACGCUUAAAACUCUAAGGACUUGGCGGUGCCCCAAACCCACCUAGAGGAGCCUGUUCUAUAAUCGAUAACCCACGAUACACCCGACCGCCCCUCGCCAGAGCAGCCUACAUACCGCCGUCGCCAGCCCACCUCGCCUGAGAGCACAUCAGUGGGCACAACAGCUUAGCCCGCUAGCAAGACAGGUCAAGGUAUAGCCAAUGGGAGCGGAAGAAAUGGGCUACAUUUUCUAAGCUAGAAGACUCCUACGGAAGGGGGUGUGAAACCACACCCAGAAGGCGGAUUUAGCAGUAAAGCGGGACAAUAGAGCCCUCUUUAAGUCGGCUCUGGGGCACGUACAUACCGCCCGUCACCCUCCUCACAAGCUACAAACCAAUAUAAUUAAUACGCCAACUAGCUGAAGAUGAGGUAAGUCGUAACAAGGUAAGUGUACCGGAAGGUGUACUUAGCAUACC